GUCCAGCAUUUCCAGUUUGGAAUGGGGGAGUAUCAUCUGAUCUUGGAAGGAAAGCAGGGCCAGGCCUGGUUAGUCCUUGGACGGAAGACUGCCUGGGAAUACCACUGCUGUAGGCU
Molecule: ribosomal RNA, 116 nt
Organism: Macaca nemestrina (pig-tailed macaque)
Lineage: Eukaryota; Metazoa; Chordata; Mammalia; Primates; Cercopithecidae
Source: Ensembl